UUGCUUCAGCAGCACAUAUACUAAUAUUAGAAUAAUACAGAGAAGAUUAGCAUGGCCCCUGCACAAGAAUGACAACAAAUUCUCGAAACAUUCCAUAUUUUA
Small nuclear RNA from Protobothrops mucrosquamatus (brown spotted pit viper), 102 nucleotides. NCBI's taxonomy places the organism in Eukaryota, Metazoa, Chordata, Lepidosauria, Squamata, Viperidae. The record is from RefSeq and is a predicted model, not a curated record.